This 74-nucleotide transfer RNA is filed under the name Acropora cervicornis. RNAcentral describes it as "tRNA-Ala". It matches the Rfam family "tRNA". Rfam says of the family: Transfer RNA (tRNA) molecules are approximately 80 nucleotides in length. Their secondary structure includes four short double-helical elements and three loops (D, anti-codon, and T loops). Further hydrogen bonds mediate the characteristic L-shaped molecular structure. tRNAs have two regions of fundamental functional importance: the anti-codon, which is responsible for specific mRNA codon recognition, and the 3' end, to which the tRNAs corresponding amino acid is attached (by aminoacyl-tRNA synthetases). tRNAs cope with the degeneracy of the genetic code in two manners: having more than one tRNA (with a specific anti-codon) for a particular amino acid; and 'wobble' base-pairing, i.e. permitting non-standard base-pairing at the 3rd anti-codon position. Lineage: Eukaryota; Metazoa; Cnidaria; Anthozoa; Scleractinia; Acroporidae. The record is from RNAcentral.
GGUUUCAUAGCUCAGUUGGUAAGAGCACUGAACCAGCAUUGCAGAACUCAUGCGUUUGAAUCCCACUGAAGCCA